Molecule: long non-coding RNA, 625 nt
Organism: Panthera uncia (snow leopard)
Lineage: Eukaryota; Metazoa; Chordata; Mammalia; Carnivora; Felidae
Exons: 3
Source: RefSeq, a predicted model, not a curated record
GGCAAUAAGAGCAAGUCGCACCUCAGGUGUCUGGGGCUAACCUGAGGGUGUGGGUCCUUGCGGUGGAAGCUGAACCGCCCUGGAGUGUGGGGACACAAAAGAAUCUAGGUCCAAGUCGCCUCUUUCCCGCUUUGGAGCUUGGUGUCUGUCUUGCCUGUCUGGUCUUCAUGGAUGUGGCCAACCUCCCAUCAGGUGUUGGAAGGAGUCAGAUUCUGAGGACCUGUGUCUUGAGGUCUGCUGUAGCUUCUACUCCAGAUUCAAAGGCAGCAGUCCUCAGGAGUUCCUGACAGUUCACGUCCCUGUGAGAUAUGAUGCCUGGCUCAAGUGAGUGGCUCUGUGAGAUAAAUAUCAACCUGCCCAUUUGAGAGAUGACCCACUACACGGAUAGAUAUAUCUACAUAGGGGCAUUGUUUUCAUUUUCUGCAUGUUAUUUUUUCCCAUGAAAAGACAGAAUUUUAAGAUACACAAAAACUUUUCUUCAAGGCAGAUUAUGAAACAGUAACUUUAGUGUGAUCCUAAAUCUCUUUGAAAUUUCAUAUGUGUAUAAAUGAAUGACAGCACAUAUUACAUAGUUUUACUUCCUAUUUAUACCUACAUGUAUAUCACAUGUUUAUUAAAUGUGAAU